This is a small nucleolar RNA of Alnus glutinosa, 128 nucleotides long. The record is from RefSeq and is a predicted model, not a curated record. NCBI's taxonomy places the organism in Eukaryota, Viridiplantae, Streptophyta, Magnoliopsida, Fagales, Betulaceae.
AUCCCAGUUAAGCUCAAGCCUUAGUGCUUACCUGAUUCAUGGGAGGCCAAAAUCGAAGCUGGAAGUUUCGCUGAUUAACGCCUUGUUAUCACUUUGAGGCGUUUACUUAGUAACUUUGCCAUACAUCU